AUGCAAGUCGAACGGAUGAUCCAGCUUCGGUUGGAAAGUUAGUGGCAGACGGCUGAGUAACGCGUAAAUAACCUACCCAUUGGCGGGGGACAACUUGGAGAAAUUCGAGCUAAUACCGCAUGUGGUUCACUCCUGCAGGGGGGUGAACGAAAGACUUCGGUCACCAGUGGACGGAUUUGCGUUCCAUCAGGUAGUUGGUGAGGUAACGGCCCACCAAGCCUACAACGGAUAGCCGGUGUGAGAGCACGACCGGCCAGAGGGGGACUGAGACACGGCCCCCACUCC
Molecule: ribosomal RNA, 285 nt
Filed under: unidentified marine bacterioplankton
Lineage: Bacteria
Also listed under: 1 other name
Description: partial 16S ribosomal RNA
Rfam family: Bacterial small subunit ribosomal RNA
Source: RNAcentral